GUUGUUUAAAAGUCCUGGUUGCAUAAAACCCUGCCAUUCCAGACACGAAACAGAGUAUCUGAUCAGGUCAAAAACAGUGAAGACAGAAACUGUGAAAUCUGUUAAAACGCAAAGCAAAAAGAACGUUUUUUUUAAUGUGUUCACCACUUCACAGGGGAAAAAUACAUGAAACUCUCAACAACAUCAAGAAACAGAACAACGGCAUAGCAUGGAACUGUGUCCUUUUAAAGGCAAGUCUGUUUGUCGUGUUGCCUUUUUAGAACGAUACGAUUUACCAGUGGCUAGAGAUGCCCAUGAUAAACAUAGGUUGGUGGUAACCGUUAGAUAGAUCACGUAAGAGUUUGACUAAAACCAUGGAAACGCCAUGCACGUGUCCUCCCGUGGAGGAUAAAUCUAGAAUCUCCUCAUUGCCUCAGCAAAAUGAGCCUACAUUUAGUCUAUUGUUCAUAUGUGUAUAUUUCACACUAUGUUGAGGUGAAAAUAAAAGUGUAAUGCUUGUAUGGUUUUAACCUCGAAUACAUGUUCAUUCCAUCGCCAUCAAUCAACUGCAUUACACUUCAACUUCCACCACCACCAGCUAUGCUCCACCAUUACCAGCUUAUCCGAACGGGAGUCACCAGUUAGCAAAGGACAACUUCUAAAUAUUAUGCAGUAAAACAGCCAAAUACUGUAUAUCCAAAUCAGAUUUUAGUAACUACAUUGUUGGCCUUUUAGAACACAUCAUUUACGACAGAUUUGACAAAUAAUAACUUUUCUGAAUGAGUGCCAAUGACGGCGUCCCUGUCCUGUCCCCCACGGUCUGAGUUCCAUUGAUGUCUCACCAUAUGUUUUGGUAGUGGCAGAGCUACUUCUCGUGGCUCUCUCAAUUUAAACAAUAACACUUUGUUACUGAGGGCCACCAUCCUGAAUACAGUAAGUGCUUUAAUGCCAGUGAGUCCAGGAAACUGCAAACGGACGCUAGAUCAGUAUGGUCGAAAAACAAAUGGUGUCGUCUCAUAUAUGGUUUCAGAGAAAAGGGAUUCUGACUGACACUGUCUCGUGUCUAUGACAUCAUUAAUCACAGAGGUACUAAACAUAGGAAUGUUUACUGAACCAUAGAUACUGACCCUUAGUUUAAAAGAACUACUUGGUUGUUUAAAGUUACAUUCUGUUACUUUCAAUUCCAGUUCGAAGUGCUGUCACUGAACUUGUGUAUAUAAAGUGAAGAGAGUGUGUUUUGGCAGAUAGAACCGGGCGAUUUUUGUUCAGCGUCUUGGCCAAGUGUGUUUGCAAUACAUUGAGUAGCCACUGAGGAUAUUCAAGUUACAGAUUGUAUCCUUACAACGUUGUAUUCAAAUGAAUUGACUUUAUAUCGCUCUGAAUAGAAGUGUCAUAUACAAUGCAUAUCCCUGUCUAUCUGAGUUGAAUGAUCAGUCAUUUAGUGACAAAUUCAGGAUAUCAGCUACCACUUUAAAAAUGGCUGUGUUAGUUUGUAUUACAUAGGCACCAAAGACUGUCUGGCAUCACCCAAAGUUGGGAAAACAUAUUUGUCUUUCCUCUCCCUGUUUCUGCAUGGAACUGAGUGCUGAAAACAUAGUUGAAUAUCUAAACAUAUGUAAACAUACAUUACAUUUCAAUAUAUUUACUAUAGAUAUCAAUAUAUGUUUAUGAGCUACUCACUGAGCACCGACGCUGUUGCACAGAUAACUUACAGGCGUUUAGAAAAUAUAUUGUAUGAAUAUAUUUAUUAUAUAUUUGUAUACAUAUGUAUUGCAGCCCUGACCCUCUGGACUGAUAUAGUGGUGAUGAUAUUGUUUCUUCUACUCUAUGACUAUCAUUGUAACGGUUAUCACCGCUCUGGGUAACACUGACAUCACUUAGUUAGAUUGUAGGAUUGUGGUUCACAAAAGGAGUCUCUAUAGUACACUACUUUUUAAUAGAGCCCUAUGGGCCCUCGUCAGAAGAAGUGCACUAUAAACGGAAUAGGGUGCCAUUUGGGACGCACACAAACAGCAUGGCGAUCGCUAGCAACAUCCAAUGGUUUUCUGACUGCUGUGGGGUCAAAGUACACAUAUCAAACACUUAGGUGGUCAGUAACCUCCAGGACAUCGUCAGAUUUAAAAAAACACAACACACACACACACACACACACACACACACACACACACACACACACACACACACACACACACACACACACACACACACACACACACACACACACACACACACACACACACAGUCCUAAGCCAUCUGUAGAAGUCUCUCAGUCUUCCAAAAUUCCACAACCAAUAUUAUUUUCAUUUUACAAUGCUCUGUAUUCCCAUGUUUAGUAUUCCCAUUUUCCCAUUUUCCCAUUUCUCCACAUGUCCACAGGUCUCUGGUUCCAGUGCUUCACUGCUGGACCUGCUUCAAGCUGAAAU
Molecule: long non-coding RNA, 2402 nt
Organism: Oncorhynchus tshawytscha (Chinook salmon)
Lineage: Eukaryota; Metazoa; Chordata; Actinopteri; Salmoniformes; Salmonidae
Source: Ensembl